RNAcentral lists this ribosomal RNA (200 nucleotides) under uncultured eukaryote. RNAcentral describes it as "partial 18S ribosomal RNA". It matches the Rfam family "Eukaryotic small subunit ribosomal RNA", at positions 588 to 811 of the family's 1831-position model. The record is from RNAcentral.
GCUCCAAUAGCGUAUACUAAAGUUGUUGCAGUUGAAAAGCUCGUAGUUGGAAGUGAAAUGGCUGCCGGCGGGCGGAGCACGCGAGUGCUUGUGUCCGCGUCUGUAGCAGUCGCCCCGAGGGGGGUUUCGGCCCCCCUCCGUUUACUGUGAAGAAAUUAGAGUGUUCAAGCAGGGCUCGUGCCUCUGCAUAUACCAGCAUG